UUCGCCGCUCGUGACGUCUUGAGAAGUCCACUGAACCUUAUCAUUUAGAGGAAGGAGAAGUCGUAACAAGGUUUCCGUAGGUGAACCUGCGGAAGGAUCAUUGUUGAAAUCCUCAACGAGGAGGACCGUGAACUUGUCAACGAGCGUCGUCGGGUCGAGCCCGCCUCGGACCGACGCAGUCCCUGCCCUAGCGGUGCGGACGACCGACCAAAACCCCCGGCGCGAUGGGCGCCAAGGAGCACGGAAACAGCAGGUGGCCGGGACCUCGUCCUGGUCGUGCUGUGGUUACUGGGAACCUAAUGACUCUCGGCAACGGAUAUCUCGGCCCUCGCAUCGAUGAAGAACGUAGCGAAAUGCGAUACGUGGUGUGAAUUGCAGAAUCCCGCGAACCAUUGAGUCUUUGAACGCAAGUUGCGCCCGAGGCCUUUCGGUCGAGGGUACGCCUGCCUGGGCGUCACACGAUCGUCGCUCCGUGCGCCCCCAGCCCGACGCACGGGUGGCGGAGCCGGAUGCGUACAUUGGCCCCCCUCGCACUCUGGCGCGGUCGGCCAAAGAGCAUGCCGUCGCCGAUGGUUGGGCACGACGGGUGGUGGUGCUAUGAGCAAGCCUUACGUCGUGCCUCGGCCUAGGAGACGAGCUCCGAUGGAACCCCCCCACCCCACAAUAAUCGCCUUGGAUUGCGACCCCAGGUCAGGCGGGGCUACCCGCCGAGUUUAAGCAUAUAAAUAAGCGGAGGAGAAGAAACUUACGAGGAUUCCUAUAGUAACGGCGAGCGAACCGGGAUCAGCCCAGCUUGAGAAUCGGGCGGCUGGGCCGUUCGAA
RNAcentral lists this ribosomal RNA (822 nucleotides) under Calathea pluriplicata. RNAcentral's name for it is "eukaryotic LSU rRNA". The stretch from base 302 to 457 matches the Rfam family "5.8S ribosomal RNA". The record is from RNAcentral. Lineage: Eukaryota; Viridiplantae; Streptophyta; Magnoliopsida; Zingiberales; Marantaceae.